Molecule: non-coding RNA, 142 nt
Filed under: Sulfobacillus acidophilus
Lineage: Bacteria; Bacillati; Bacillota; Clostridia; Eubacteriales; Clostridiales Family XVII. Incertae Sedis
Also listed under: 1 other name
Description: FMN sequence
Rfam family: FMN riboswitch aptamer (RFN element)
About the family: The RFN element is a highly conserved domain that is found frequently in the 5'-untranslated regions of prokaryotic mRNAs that encode for flavin mononucleotide (FMN) biosynthesis and transport proteins. This element is a metabolite-dependent riboswitch that directly binds FMN in the absence of proteins. In Bacillus subtilis, the riboswitch most likely controls gene expression by causing premature transcription termination within the 5' untranslated region of the ribDEAHT operon and precluding access to the ribosome-binding site of ypaA mRNA.
Source: RNAcentral
UGAAACCUUCGGGGCCAGGUGAGGCGGCAAUCCGCCAAUUCCUGACCGGCGGUAAUCUCGAACGAGGAGCCCGCGAGCCGAAAGGCAGGAGUCCGGUGAGAUUCCGGCGCCGACAGUAUAGUCUGGAUGGGAGAAGGGUAGG